This is a long non-coding RNA of Sitodiplosis mosellana (orange wheat blossom midge), 1164 nucleotides long. RefSeq lists it as uncharacterized. The record is from RefSeq and is a predicted model, not a curated record. Lineage: Eukaryota; Metazoa; Arthropoda; Insecta; Diptera; Cecidomyiidae. The transcript has 3 exons.
GGUUGCUCUACACGCACAAAAAGAGCUCGGUUGGAUCUUGGGCUAUCCAAUCCAGAUAUUGAGGAAAUAGGGAGUUUGUCCGAAUUCGAAUAUGAAGAUAAAGAAGCUGAAGAUGAAGAUGAAGAUGAAAUGUAUCAAACACUAGAUACAGUUCUGAAAUCCAUGUUGAAAAAUGCAAAGGACAUGGUUUAUGCAUAUCCAAAAUAUCAAGCCAAUAUGAAUUCAUUGAGGCAAUUGGUCAUUUCCAAAACCGCCGAAAUAUCUGAGAAAGAUGCAAAAAUCAAGAGCUUAAAUUCCAGAAUCAAGAUAUUGGAAGCCGAAGACAAUGAAAUAACAGCAUUGAACAAUAAACUGAGAGAAUUCGAAGCCAAAUGUGGAGAAAUCGAAUCAUUGAAACAUGACCUGGAUGAAUUGAAGACCAAAAAUGAAAAAUUAGAAAAAGAAGUAAAGAAAAACACAACGUGUUUUGGUUGUGGCGUUCUUAUUGAAAAGAAGCGAUAUUGCAAAAUUGAGUGCAUCGAAAAAUAUUUCAUGAAUGAACGAAAAGAAGAAUCAAAACAAAAUUGAUGAACGAUGUUCAAUGAUACAAAUAUGUAUAAAGGUUGAGAUCUCGCCAAGGUUUCGGCGUAUUCGUUCAAAUCAAACUCAAAACCAAACCAACACAAUACGAGGUCGACACUGUAUGACAACACGAAGCUGCUCUUUUAUGCUACUACAUGGAUGAUGACAACGAAGUGAGCAUCAAUAUACAACAGGCGCAGAUGGUCUUCAGCAUAGCAAAGACGAUUCAGAUGAUUUAAUAAACCAUUCGAUCAAAAAGUUGCAGCAGCACAAAAAAUAAUGCCCACACUGAGAAAGCAAAGAUCGGCUUCACUUGUAUCGUAACCAAAGUACUUCUAUAUAUACAAGAUUGUCUAUCUGUGCUUAUUCUCAAUUUAUUUCUAAAAUCAUUAUUUUUUAUACUUAAGCAAAACAUUUUCUCAACUCAAGGGACUUAUUAAUUCUGUUAUUCGAACAAAACGUCACAUAUAAUAAGUGUAUAUAAAAAUCCCAUGUUCCUUCUUAAUAGAGUAACAGGACUAUGUUUCGCUUUGUUCGGCGAUUUUUUUAUGUUGCGUUUAGACUGGCAAAAUAAGUUACUUUUAUUCUCAGUGAAUCAUUUAA